AUACGGAGGGGGCAAGCGUUGUUCGGAAUUACUGGGCGUAAAGGGCGUGUAGGCGGUUAGGCAAGUCAGAUGUGAAAGCCCCGGGCUUAACUCGGGAAUUGCAUCUGAAACUGCUUAACUUGAGUCCUGGAUGGGGUAGUGGAAUUCCCAGUGUAGCGGUGAAAUGCGUAGAUAUUGGGAGGAACACCUGCGGCGAAGGCGGCUACCUGGACAGUGACUGACGCUGAGGCGCGAAAGCUAGGGGAGC
This 247-nucleotide ribosomal RNA is filed under the name uncultured bacterium. Its description in RNAcentral is "partial 16S ribosomal RNA". It matches the Rfam family "Bacterial small subunit ribosomal RNA", at positions 523 to 769 of the family's 1533-position model. The record is from RNAcentral.